AUUGAACGCUAGCGGGAUGCUUUACACAUGCAAGUCGAACGGCAGCGCGGACUUCGGUCUGGCGGCGAGUGGCGAACGGGUGAGUAAUGUAUCGGAACGUGCCCAGUAGCGGGGGAUAACUACGCGAAAGCGUAGCUAAUACCGCAUACGCCCUACGGGGGAAAGCAGGGGAUCGUGAGACCUUGCACUAUUGGAGCGGCCGAUAUCGGAUUAGCUAGUUGGUGAGGUAACGGCUCACCAAGGCGACGAUCCGUAGCUGGUUUGAGAGGACGACCAGCCACACUGGGACUGAGACACGGCCCAGACUCCUACGGGAGGCAGCAGUGGGGAAUUUUGGACAAUGGGGGCAACCCUGAUCCAGCCAUCCCGCGUGUGCGAUGAAGGCCUUCGGGUUGUAAAGCACUUUUGGCAGGAAAGAAACGUCGCGGGCUAAUACCCCGUGGAACUGACGGUACCUGCAGAAUAAGCACCGGCUAACUACGUG
RNAcentral lists this ribosomal RNA (484 nucleotides) under uncultured bacterium. RNAcentral describes it as "partial 16S ribosomal RNA". It matches the Rfam family "Bacterial small subunit ribosomal RNA", at positions 30 to 507 of the family's 1533-position model. The record is from RNAcentral.